Molecule: long non-coding RNA, 3967 nt
Organism: Passer domesticus (house sparrow)
Lineage: Eukaryota; Metazoa; Chordata; Aves; Passeriformes; Passeridae
Exons: 3
Source: RefSeq, a predicted model, not a curated record
CAAGUUUAGAGCAGCACAGCAACUACCACGCUGGAUAUUACACCAGUAUGGUUUCUUUUAAAGUCAGUUCCAGGUUGAUCCCGUUCUUGUUGGUUUUGUGAAGGCUGCCACAUAGAACAGGAGUGAAUUUUAAUUAUAAUCAAUCAGAUUGGGAAAGACCUCUGAGAUCAUCGAGUCCAACCUAUGAUCCAACACCACUAUGUCAACUUGACCUAAGUGCUACAUCAAGUCUUUCCUUAAACACCUCCAGAUCCAGAGAAGCCCAGUUCCUGUGACCCACAGGACAGCAAUUUAUGUGCAGCACAUCAUCACUGUAUCCCAAAUGAUUGGCAGCAACGGCCUGGAGAGACAGAGGCACCAGCCAGCCAUGGAUCAACUGGCUCAACACCACCAACAACAUGGUGAGGGGGGAAAAGUCUUGCUCCACAACAUAUAUAUGGACCAAUAUCUCAGCUUUCAACAAUAACCACCCUUUUGAUCAAGAGGAAAGAUGUAGAAAGUACACACACAGCAGGCUACCCUUCAGUUUUACCUGUGGGACCACAGACAGGACAUGAAGAAUUGGGAUGGAAGUGAAUGGCAUUUGUUUCAUGGAAGAUUCAGACACAAUCAGGUUAAACUUCCAGAACAAAACAACAUAAAUGAACUUAGCUGCAGCAGUUAUCAGUGCUCAGUUGUCAGCAAAUGCAAAAUAACUCUACUCAGCACUCUUACUAUUGCCCUUAAAGAAUAACUAAUAGUGACUCGCCUUCAGUAGGUUUACUGCAAUUUCUCCCUGUGUAAAAGUUUUAGGUUACCUUCAAAGCACACAUGGAAAACAACUAUUUGAACUGUAAAAUCACUGCUGAUCUAUAAUAAAAUCAGAACAAUUGCAUAAAAGCAGUGGAAACAACAAAUAAGACAUUGAAUCCAAACUGACACCCAGAAAGGUGUUACCUAACACGAAAGAAAAGAACCCACUGUGGUAAUGUUAACAUAACUCAUAAUCUGCUUAUGGAAUUUUUUUUAGUUUUGGGUCAAAUGCUGACCUAGAGCAACUAGACUCUUUGUAACUGAACUUCUAAUUUAGAAAAUUAGUUAAUUCAUACCAUACUCACUCUGUAAUCUCUUACUGGACAAUAGUUUUUAAAACACAGCUAAAAUUUUGAAUCAAGGACUUGAACCACACCACAUUUUUACUCUCAAUAUUACUGCAGGACAACAGUGAUAGGACACAUUGCAUUCUGUUGACAGCAUAGCAGUGCCCCUAUCAGAUUAGUUACACAGAGCAAGGACUUUGAUUUUCUGUAUUGAAAAGAGUAAAUGAGACAGUGCUUCCUUUUCUUGUUAAAUUAGGUUACUGUUUAAUCUCAACGGCAUUUUACUAAGUCUGGAACACAGUGCUAAUUAAGUCAACACUUACUGAAUACUGAAUUUGAACAACACAUUAGUAGGCUAAACUUCCAUAAAGAUAAUUUCACACUAAACUUGGCAAAGACAAGCCAUUUGUAUAAGGCAAAGUGUAAGUGAUGAUAAAAGUAAGUACUUCAACUUUAGACAACAAAAAAAGGCGGGGGUUUCUUUGAUGUUUUUCUACUGUGAAGAGUUUGUAAUUAACUUAGAUUUAAUAACUAAAUGGCAUCUUCUGCAUAAAGUUGUGAAAUUAAAAUGUUUUAUUUUAAUGAAGAAUACUACUUAAAGAGUAGGGUUUGGUUGUGCUAAGCACUGUAUGAAUGUCAAAGAAUGAAAACAAAACAGUUCCUUUCUGAUCAAGUUGUUUUGUCUGUUCCCCCUUGCCCACUUUUUCACUUGCUGCCUGUGCUCCCAAAGCUUCCCUGAGUCACCCUAAGCAGAAGCACAGCUGAUCUGUGACCCGUUAGGUCACAAUAUCUGUGGCCUAACACAGACCAACAUUGCAGCCUUUGGCCACUUUUUUGACAGUGGAUGGGUGAGAAGGCUCUUACUGAGUAUUAGGAUGCCUUGGCAUGAGAGGGAUGCAAUAGUUACAAGCUACUUGAAAAAGAAAGGCAUCUGUUCAGUUUUGUCUGCAGUUUCCAAAGGAUAAAUUCAAUAUCUGAUGGCACUCAGAAGAACAGAGACAGUGUUUAUAAAUCCAAGCACUUUACGGUUUCAGCAAAAGCAAUUUCUUCAAGUUUAUCCUGAAAACUUCGAACUAGACAGGAGUACCUGCAUCACAGAAAAGAAAUAGGCUCUAGAUGAACAUGUCAUCUUACACUGUAAUGUCUCAUCUAGGGCUCACCUAGAUAUCUGAACUGUAAAUUCUUGGACUGAAAGAAAUUAUUGCUAUGAACUGAACAGGACCACAGUCACAGGUUCCUCCAUGACAGCACAACAGUAGCACAGGCUUUCAUAUUCUGACAGUUUUGUAAUACAGGCAAGAACAGAAAUUACUACUUCUGUUUUUACAGACCUGUUCUAAACCUGUUCAACCAGAGGAAAUGCAAUGAUUUUAGUAUUUAUUUCCAGUACUAUACACAAAAUACACCACUCCCCAAAAACUCAGAUGUAUCCAAGUUCACAAGAAUCAUGUUCCACUCUCUGAACACCCAACUACCAACUCUCCAAAGAAGUCUACAAUUUUCUUAAGCACUCUUUGCAAAUGUAGUAAAAAUAAUUCAAACCUACAAUUCCAGGAACCUGAAAAGACAAGCUCAGUUUUGAUGCAAUUCAAAAUUCGUAGUAAUUAAAAUGGAAGGUCAGCAAGUUCAACUGUUGCAAAACAUUCUGUGUGAGUAACAUUAGUAUCUCAGGAAAUAUUUUUUAAUCAAAGUCACCAGACUACUUUGCAGUUUUAUUACGGAAAGUCACCAAAAAAUGCCAGAAUCAGCAGGAUUUUUCAAAUUGCUUCCAGGAAAACAGAACUCAGACUUUAAGCAGUAGGUCUUACCUGAACAUUGCUUUUGGGAUAAUAGAAGAAAAAUGGCUUCAAAAUGGGAGACCUAGAUACACAAAACAACAAGCAUAAAUGCAUUUACCUACAAAUUAAUGAAACCUGCAGAUCCUACACCUUUGGACUAUUCAUUCACCAAACACGUGGGAAGUCAAAUCCAUUCAACCACGACUAGCAAUGGUUUUUCAAACAACUUUGGAAAGCCCGAGGAGUGUAAAAACAUUAUUAAGAAUGUAAGAUUUUGUUUUAAAAACUGAAGAUUUUACUGAGGGGAAGUAGCUAAAACAGCAAAAAUAUUUUCUUGACAAAGGAUGUACUUCUUGACAUUGAAGACUACUACACUGUCAGUAGCCCCACACUGAUACCUAGGCCAGCUACACAGGGCUACUGGAAAUACUGCCCCAGGUUCUUCUCCCAUCUUCAUCUGCAGUAUUUGCUAAAUGACAGUGAAGAUUUAGAUGAAUAAGCAUGAAAAGGUGAGGAUACAAAUCACCACAAGAUUUUAGCCAUAUCUAGAAAGAAAGUGAAUCAAGCAAAGUUUUUUUUCUAAACAUGCUCAAUGUUGUUAUGCUCAGCUCAGUCAUGAAAUGUUUUCAUGCUAAAAUUUUGUGGGAUGUUCUGGCAUUUGACCUUACAUUUCUAGGCGAAGUGAACUCAUACAAAUGUAAAUUUGAUGGGCCCAUAUUCCAAACUACCAGCUACAAGAGAAAACUGGUGCAGAAAUCUGCAUGUAUUAAUGUGGUUGAACUACUGCCUUGCCACAAAGUCAUAUUUCAAGUUUUCUGUAUAGCUCAUUAAGCAAAGACAUUGCUAUGAGCUGAUCAGAAACCUACAUAAUUCACACUUAAUUCAAUAAAGAAUUUUACUAUUUGCAUGCAUAUUGUAUAGCACUAUUAUCUUGCUAUCAGUUAUUAAGCACAGAGUGACACAGGAACAUUUAGUUGCUUCUGUGGUUGCUGUCCCAAGCUGGGGAAGCUUGUGCUGGUGACUGGUAGGAACAUUAUCAUCACACAUUACAACAAGUUAAUGGUCAGGAGUUAACUUACACUCUGGGGCGCCCUCCAACAAUUCCAGUGA